AUUCUUAUGGCCCCUGAAACAGGGACCGAGCUGUAUCAACCCCUGCCUCUGGAGGAAUAUACAGGAGUUGCCACCUGGCGAAGAUCUGGAGGAGCUGCUACCCUGUGAAUACCCUGAGGAGCUGCUGGAACUGUUGGCUGCAGAGUACCCUGAAGAGUCUGAGGGCUCAUUAGCAACAAAGCCCUAUGACCAGAUGAGACUGGCAUCUUUCGAGAGACUGAGUAACAAAAAGUAAGAUGUUUCAAAUGACAAGUGUCAUCUCCAAGAAUGAUUGCUAGCAAGUUCUCUGGCAGGUGCUGGUGAAAACUCAGGAGCAAAGAGGGGUAGACAUAAGAAUAAAGUAGGAACCAUCAGAGAAAACUGAAGACAGUCUCCAGAGGGUUAUGCUAACUUAAGCUGAGAGAGCAAUUAUACCACUAAAAUGAAGAAGGCACAUUCAAGAAAACAGAGCGAAUAGAAGUGAAAAUCAAUAGAAUAAGAGACCUCAGCUUUGAAAAUAUUUUUUUAAUUGAGUCUGAUUAGCUAUUGGUUUCCUCUACUAACCUGUAUAAAGGCAAACUGGUGCAAUACUUGACUCACACAAAACUUAAAGGAUGUCUUUAUUGUUCAUCAACAACUAUUAAUGGCAUCUUUAAUUUAUUAAUGUUUAUCUAGGAUUCUGGUUACAUUUGGUAAAGGUAGACAAAAUAUGUAUACAAAGUUCUUUAAAAAAAAC
Molecule: long non-coding RNA, 715 nt
Organism: Gopherus evgoodei (Goodes thornscrub tortoise)
Lineage: Eukaryota; Metazoa; Chordata; Testudines; Testudinidae
Exons: 4
Source: RefSeq, a predicted model, not a curated record